GACGAACGCUGGCGGCGUGCUUAACACAUGCAAGUCGAGCGGUAAGGCCCUUUCGGGGUACGACGAGCGGCGAACGGGUAGAGUAACACGUGGGUGACCUCGCCCUCAGCUCUGGGAGUAAGCCUGGGAAACCGGGUACUAAUACUGGAUAUGACUCCAUGACGCAUGUUGGUGGGGUGGAAAGCCUUGUGCGGCUGAGGAUGGGCCCGCGGCCUAUCAGCUUGUUGGGUGGGGUGAGGCCUACCAAGGCGACGACGGGUAGCCGGCCUGAGAGGG
This 276-nucleotide ribosomal RNA is filed under the name uncultured bacterium. RNAcentral's name for it is "partial 16S ribosomal RNA". It matches the Rfam family "Bacterial small subunit ribosomal RNA", at positions 28 to 300 of the family's 1533-position model. The record is from RNAcentral.